GAUGAACGCUGGCGGCGUGCUUAACACAUGCAAGUCGAACGAAGCACCUUGAUUUGAUUCUUCGGAUGAAGAUCUUGGUGACUGAGUGGCGGACGGGUGAGUAACGCGUGGGUAACCUGCCUCAUACAGGGGGAUAACAGUUAGAAAUGACUGCUAAUACCGCAUAAGACCACAGCACCGCAUGGUGCAGGGGUAAAAACUCCGGUGGUAUGAGAUGGACCCGCGUCUGAUUAGGUAGUUGGUGGGGUAACGGCCUACCAAGCCGACGAUCAGUAGCCGACCUGGGAGGGUGACCGGCCACAUUGGGACUGAGACACGGCCCAAACCCCUACGGGGGGCAGCAGGGGGGAAUAUUGCAAAAUGGGGGAAACCCUGAUGCAGCGACGCCGGGGGGGCGAGGAAGUAUUUCGGUAUGUAAAGCCCUAUCAGCAGGGAAGAAAAUGACGGUACCUGACAAAAAACCCCCGGCUAAAUAC
RNAcentral lists this ribosomal RNA (476 nucleotides) under uncultured bacterium. RNAcentral describes it as "partial 16S ribosomal RNA". It matches the Rfam family "Bacterial small subunit ribosomal RNA", at positions 28 to 504 of the family's 1533-position model. The record is from RNAcentral.